RNAcentral lists this ribosomal RNA (485 nucleotides) under Thalamita spinifera. RNAcentral's name for it is "partial large subunit ribosomal RNA". It matches the Rfam family "Bacterial large subunit ribosomal RNA", at positions 1919 to 2607 of the family's 2925-position model. Lineage: Eukaryota; Metazoa; Arthropoda; Malacostraca; Decapoda; Portunidae. The record is from RNAcentral.
AAUAUUAAAUAGCCGCGGUAUCUUGACCGUGCAAAGGUAGCAUAAUCAUUAGUCUUUUAAUUGAAGACUCGUAUGAAUGGUUGGACAAGGAAGAAACUGUCUCCUGCAUUAAAAUUGAAUUUAACUUUUAAGUGAAAAGGCUUAAAUUAUUCAAAGGGACGAUAAGACCCUAUAAAGCUUUAUAAACUUUUAAAAUCUAAUACAUUUUUCUACAUAAGCUAUUUUUAAAAAUUUUAUUGGGUUGGGGCGACAAUAGUAUAAUAAAAGUAACUGCUAAUCGUUAGUACAAAAAUAUUUGAGUGGUAGCGUUAAUUGAUCCUUCUUAAAGAUUUAAGAUCAAGUUACUUUAGGGAUAACAGCGUUAUUUUUCCUGAGAGUCCUUAUCAAAGGAAAAGUUUGCGACCUCGAUGUUGAAUUAAAAUGUCUAUAUAGUGCAGCAGCUAUAAGAGAAGGUCUGUUCGACCUUUAAUAUUUUACGUGAUCUG